Molecule: ribosomal RNA, 432 nt
Filed under: uncultured bacterium
Lineage: Bacteria
Description: partial 16S ribosomal RNA
Rfam family: Bacterial small subunit ribosomal RNA
Source: RNAcentral
AACGAACGCUGGCGGCAUGCCUAACACAUGCAAGUCGAACGAGACCUUCGGGUCUAGUGGCGCACGGGUGCGUAACGCGUGGGAACCUGCCCUUAGGUUCGGAAUAACUCCCCGAAAGGGGUGCUAAUACCGGAUAAUGUCUUCGGACCAAAGAUUUAUCGCCUUGGAUGGGCCCGCGUUGGAUUAGCUAGUUGGUAGGGUAAAAGCCUACCAAGGCGACGAUCCAUAGCUGGUCUGAGAGGAUGAUCAGCCACACUGGGACUGAGACACGGCCCAGACUCCUACGGGAGGCAGCAGUGGGGAAUAUUGGACAAUGGGCGAAAGCCUGAUCCAGCAAUGCCGCGUGAGUGAUGAAGGCCUUAGGGUUGUAAAGCUCUUUUACCCGGGAUGAUAAUGACAGUACCGGGAGAAUAAGCGCCGGCUAACUCCGUG